This 4140-nucleotide long non-coding RNA is filed under the name Canis lupus familiaris (dog). Its description in RNAcentral is "lncRNA (ENSCAFG00845016968.1)". Lineage: Eukaryota; Metazoa; Chordata; Mammalia; Carnivora; Canidae. The record is from RNAcentral.
UUUUUUUUUUUUUUUUUGGAAAGGUGAGAUAUAAAUAAAUUCAAAAAUGUAAACAGAAAAAAAAAAUAAAAAAAAAUGUAAACAGGUCAGCCAGAGCACAGAUGUGUAAAUACAAUGAAUGUCCCUUUCUAAUGAUUAAUCUUGAACUUCUUCCAACAGCAGUGUUACAGCUCAAAAAUAAUUUUAUUUGGGAAAUUCUCUUUUGAAAUGUCUUUAGAGACUUUGCCUAUCAAUCAUAGCAAAUCAUCCUUCUCUGAGGGUGGGUUAGAUCUUUAAAAAAAAAAUUCCUUGAACAAAUAAUUAUUAGGUGCUUACUAAGUGGCAGGCAGGAUACCAGGAGCAAGGAGCAAGACAGACAUGGUUUCUGCCUUCGAAGACAUUUAAGAUCAAAUCUGAGAUGAGCGUCUGAGCCCUGGAUAAUACCUUUACUGAUAAGAACAAGAUGUGACUGUACAGUGACAAUCUUAACUGCCUCAAAUGACAAUUUUAAAGAAGAGAUUUAAAACAUUUUGAGUAACAGCAGCAUCUCUGGAAUAACUCUCAAACAUACUACCUAGAAGACAAACACCGACUUUUUAUGCAUUCAGUAUAGUGUUAUGUGGUUUAUAAAAGAUUUUAUAUACCUUGUAUCACUCUCUUAUAGGAAUUCUAGAUUAUCAACUGGGUUGGAGUAACACAUACCUCUCCUGUAAAAUAACUGCUCUCUAGGUUUCUUCUGGUUCUGAAAGUCUGUAAUUCUCAUGUCUGUACCUCCAUACUUUCACACUGUAUCGUGGGUUCACUACUUUAGAAUAGCUCAUUGAGCUCAUUGUGACCUAUCUGGCUGGGGACCUUCCACCCAGAGAUGGGUGUCCAACGGCUUUUCCUGGGAGUGGCACGGGCUCAGCCUGGCUGGGCAUCUAGAAGCCUGGCAAGGGAUGGACUGGGCUCAUGCUCAGCCAUAAGGUGAGGAACAAAGGCUGAAGUUGAAGUCCAAGGUGAGGGAACUCUACUGGAAGCAUGGGAGGAUCUGAAAUGGCAGGUUCACAAGAUCAAGCAGAGCUAGAAUCAGACUCAAAGAAAAAUGUUGGCUAGACAGAGUAAAGAGGCUAAAGAGGCAGCACCUAGCAGGUUACCUUGAAGAAACAAGAUUUCUUUUCAUGGAUGCUAGGGACAGAAUCCAGAAGCCAUUAGAGUGAUAAGCCAAAAAUAUGAAAAAAAAGUUUUAAAAAUUGGCUCCCCCCCCCCACUUAAACCCAUCAGUGGUUAAACAGCAAAAAUAAGAGAAAAUGUAGCUCUGUUCUAAAACUUCACCUCAUCAGCUUUUCCAAAUAGUAGCUCAUUCUUAGAAGAAAAUGGAGAGUGUUUGUCAAAUAGAACAUCUUUGACAUUCUCCUGGUAAAACAUGUAUUUACAGUUUGAAAUUAUAUCUCAAAGUCUUUGGAUGCUCUUUGUCUAUAUCAAAAAUAACAUGUUUGUAAGCCCAAUUAUUAAGUAAGAUUAGAAUCUAAAAAUCUCUCUUCAGUGAAAAUGUAUACAUAGUAAAAAUUAAGAGGAGGUUUAAGACUUUGCUGCUCAUCACAGAGAAUUAAGUAGAGCAUUUGAGUAUCUCACUGCCACACAAAGAGAUAAAGUAACCUUUGAUGACCUUGACCACACACACACACACACACACACACAAAUGGGAAUGCAGGGGUAAGUAAAUUGUGAGAACAUUUCUAGGAGUUAUGGGUAUGACAGGGCCUCUUUGCAAAGACGUGUGUGUACUUUGGGCCCAAACCAUUUCACUGCCAUGAUUAGAGUUUAUACCUGUGUUUUCCCAGCACUGCUUUAUCCAUGGACAUAAGCAGACUAUUCCAGAUGGGAUGCAAAUACAGUGGAUGAAAUUAUGUACAACUCCUAGGCAAAGGAAGCUGCUAAUCCUAUUUUCGUUUUCUAGUUCUGGUUUGGUGUCAUUUUCACCCCGGGCACAUUUAGUAGCCAUGUUUCAAACUAAUCCAAAAAUUAGUGCCUGUUUUCCUGUUUAUUUUUCAGUCUUUUUCUAGAAGGUUUCUAAGGAUUUAGGUGUUUUUCUAGUCAGCCAUAUUCCAGAAAUUUAGCACCAAUAAGUCUGCUUGCAGGCCUUUUUGCUUUGCUGCUGUUGUUUUCUUUCCCUGAACAAAUUUAUAACAUUAGGUCUCACUUUAUCGAGAAGCUUUAUUUUCCAUCUGCUCUCCAUUUUUGCUCUAUUAUUAGGCUAUGCUUCUGGUAUUCUGAUCCUGCUUCAUUUCCAGGACUCUAGUUGACGUCAGCAGGGAACCUAGGCAGAGGAGGAGAGCAUAAUACUGGGCUUGACUCCACAGACUGUUUUGGGAAAAGCGUCUGGUCUCUUUGAGGUGGGACUUCCGUUGGAUGGACCCCCCUCUUCUUUUCCUACAGACAGUGGAGCCUCUGUAUCAUACUUAAUGCAACCACUGGUACAGGAUGAUGUACUUGCUCAACCACCCAAAUCUAUUGACUUUCUGUUAAAAGGCUUUUAACAUAAAUUUUAAGAGAUUAACAAAAUACAUCACAGACUAUUGCUGAGAACGCAGGGAUUUUAACUACGUUUCUCCUCCAUUGAUUUUAGUUAAUAUAUUUUAACCACCCCUUAUUUUACUGUACCUUUUAAUUUGUUAUUCAUUUGUUUGAAACCAGAACUCUGCUGAGGCACUCCGGACCCACAGGAACUGAAAUAGUUUGCCUUCAUUAUCUGGUAGACCUGCUCGAGUCUGUAGCCCCUGACAGAAACCACAAGACUGUACAAACUGGCAACUGUGGGUUUGUCUGUUCUCUAUUGAUUCUAUUUCUGGAAAAAAAAACAUGAACCAAUGGGUGAACCAUGUGACUGUACAACUUACCCAAAGCUCUCAUCAUAAAGGGGAUGGAGACCUUUUACAGACAGGUCAUGAUGGGACCUCGACACUUUUCUGUUUGCCUUUCAACCAUGGCCUUUGAAAGCUUUGACUUACAAGUUUAACUCCUUGUAUUCUGAAAUAUGAAAAUGCUAUAGAAUUAGAGUAUUCCAUAGCGUGUUAUUUAAAUUUGGUCCCAUUAUCCCAAACAUCUAAGGAAAUAUAUAAUAUAGACUUGAUAUAACUUUGCUUAUAAAGUAUCUUAGUUCUUUCUUCCAGUGUGAAAAUUAUAAGGCAACUCCACCAGAAAAUUUCAAAAGAGAAUAAUAUUCACAUCCUUUUCAGACUAGAUAGCAUUUAUAGCAACUGAUACAGCAUUUCCUUCUCUCGAGAUUUAGUAUCGGUGUUAUUAAAUACCAAUACUCAAGUAAGUAGAAUGCAUGACUUCUCUAUGGUAUGGCCCUAAUGAAAGGGUUCUGGUUUGGGCUGUAACAAGCUGCAUAUCCUUGCUCUCUCUCUCUCUCUCCUUCUCCAUUACAUGUCAAAUGACCAGAAGAUUUCUAAUGCCUGUUCUAGUUUUAAGAUUAAAAGUGAAUAAAACACCAGAGAGAUCCAGGUAGUGGAGAACACAUCCUAUGAAACACACACACACACACACACACACACUCACACACAGAACAGAAAAACCAAAAUAGCUCCCCACUCCUCCUCCCCCAACAAUGACAAUGCAGCCAUCUGUUGGACGUUCCAUUUCACUUAGCAGCUGCUCUCAGAUACAGAAAUCUGCAUUCCUCAGGCUCGUGCUGGUAUGCAUGCAGCAUGUGUGGGUACUAGCAUUUGACUCUCCCACCCAAAGGAAUGGCUUUCAUUGAAUAAAAAUGAUCACAGAAGGUUUCUUACUCUCCCAUCACAUAUAAUGCCUUUUUCCUGAUAAUAGGCAUUUGGAACUAUCUCUGCUCCUCUGUGUAUUAAAAUAAAUUCUCUUAGAGAUAUUCACAUUAAACAAUCAUCCAAAAUUAAAGAGAACAACCAGGAAAAGGCUUCAGUGAAGCUCUUGUCUUGCCAGAAACUUUCGCUUUGAAAGAGAAUGCAAGAGGUUGGAAUAUAAAGUUCCAUUCCACUUUUAUUUUGUCAAUACCCCCAACAUUGCACUGAAGCACUGAGAAAUGGUGGUGUUUAAAAGGGAACCAGGAGGCUUUCAAAAGCAGCAAUGAUCUUACAACAAACUAAAUGAAAAUACAGAAGAUGAAUCUCCAAAAGGGACCAAAAAAAAAAAAAAAGAAAAAAU